UAAAUGUGAUGAUUAUCAAACCAGGGCGGUGGUAAUGGCGCUGAUGAUCUCAGUCAAGGUAAAAGAGUUAGAAUUAGCAACUCCAGCUCAAGUCAAUUUCGGCAGAAAUUUGCUGAUUUG
This 120-nucleotide unclassified non-coding RNA is filed under the name Arabidopsis thaliana (thale cress). Its description in RNAcentral is "small nucleolar RNA R33". Lineage: Eukaryota; Viridiplantae; Streptophyta; Magnoliopsida; Brassicales; Brassicaceae. The record is from RNAcentral.